Molecule: long non-coding RNA, 476 nt
Filed under: Bos taurus (domestic cattle)
Lineage: Eukaryota; Metazoa; Chordata; Mammalia; Artiodactyla; Bovidae
Description: long non-coding RNA NONBTAT000965
Source: RNAcentral
AUUAGUAAAAAAUAAUUUUGCCCUUUAUUUUUAGAUUGCAUACAACAUAGCUGGAAAUGCCUGGGAUAGAUACAUAUAUAAAAACAAACACAUUUUAAUUCAGCAUACUCUUUUAGAGUACAUAGGACUAUAGUUAAGUGUCACACAGUAUCUGACAUAUGACUAGAACCAAGUUAUAUUAGAAAGGCCCUUAUAGGAUCUAGUUGGAUAAAACAGAAUAUAGAAAAGGGUAGUACAACUAAGAUAGUCACUCCCAAUUCUGUACUUCAGUACCUGAAACAUUAAUAUAGAAGAUACAGAUGAAUCUGAAUCUAAAGUGAUCCACUGAUAAACCAUUUUUUAUAAAACUGUAUCUCCCUUAUAGAGUAUGCACCUCCCUCAUCCAGUAAUUAGGGGUUUUCUGGAUGAUUAGACUCAGAAAAGAUUCACUGCUUGGAUGUCCAGAGUAAAUGAUUAUACCUUAAAAUGUAUUAUUA